UACGUAGGAGACGAGCGUUGUCCGGAGUUACUGGGCGUAAAGGGCGCGUAGGCGGCGUGGUAAGUCACUUGUGAAAUCUCUGAGCUUAACUCAGAACGGUCAAGUGAUACUGCUGUGCUAGAGUGCGGAAGGGGCAAUCGGAAUUCUUGGUGUAGCGGUGAAAUGCGUAGAUAUCAAGAGGAACACCUGAGGUGAAGACGGGUUGCUGGGCCGACACUGACGCUGAUGCGCGAAAGCCAGGGGAGCAAACAGG
RNAcentral lists this ribosomal RNA (253 nucleotides) under uncultured bacterium. RNAcentral's name for it is "partial 16S ribosomal RNA". It matches the Rfam family "Bacterial small subunit ribosomal RNA", at positions 524 to 776 of the family's 1533-position model. The record is from RNAcentral.